Molecule: long non-coding RNA, 751 nt
Organism: Vespa mandarinia (Asian giant hornet)
Lineage: Eukaryota; Metazoa; Arthropoda; Insecta; Hymenoptera; Vespidae
Source: RefSeq, a predicted model, not a curated record
UAUAUUAUAUAUAUAUUUAUUAUAUAUUAUGAUGAAUGUUCCAAGUUCUCUGUUAUUGACAGACAUCAGGGACAUAACAUUUGUUCGAAUUUACUCUGUUAAUAUGUCUGAUAAGUUAGAUUAUGUAAAUUGACAUUGAAACGUGGACAACUGAUUCACAGAAAUCAUUAUUGAUAUCUUAUUAUUCUCAUAUGGAUUAUUCAAAUGUUUUGAUGUUGAAAAUAAAAGAAAGAAAAAAAAGAAAAAAAAAAAAAAAGCAAACAAACAAACAAAAACGACAAAAGGUCGUGGUAUUGUAAGGAGAUCAAGGGAUAUUUUUGUAAAGACUACGACGACGACGACGUUGACGAAAACGACACUCGGAAAACAGUGUUGCCAAAGCGACGACAACAACAUCCGUCCUACCUGGUUCAAUAUUGCAGUAGAGCAGCAAAUUAGCAUUAGCCGCCUGGCUUAUUGCACGUGAAGAAGAAGAAGAAGAAGAAAAAAAAAGAAAAACAAAUACAGAUGUAUAACAGAGAUAUAUACAAAUCGUUGGAUCUCUACCAUGAUGAUCUUAUUAUUGUGAUCUCUGCAAUUCUUUAUUGCUGUCUGUUGACAUCAUCGAACGAUUAUUUUCUUUAGGCGACACAUGUCUGUCCGCAAUGACGACGACGAUGACGACGUGAACGACGAAAAAACAAUCCUCUGAUCAUGUAUCACCGAGUAAAAUUAACUUUAUGUGUUUGUAUAAGAGAUCAAAAAAAAAAAA